Molecule: long non-coding RNA, 2809 nt
Filed under: Malus domestica (apple)
Lineage: Eukaryota; Viridiplantae; Streptophyta; Magnoliopsida; Rosales; Rosaceae
Description: long non-coding RNA (MDOM_LNC017608)
Source: RNAcentral
GAAAGGUUCUCGGAGAUGAAGAAAGGUUAUGUAUUAAAUAAAUAAAUACAGAAAUCCCACUAUAAAAGAAACUGCCCCAUCAUUUUUCCAACUUGUUUAGACUAUACAUUUGUUCCUUUACAAAAUUUGAUGCUUUAAUCCAACUUAGCAUUUUUCUAUUUAUUUAAUAGGGAUCUAUCGAGAUGUCUUCACUUUCUAAUAAAAUUUCACUGAAAUGUCUUCACAAUUUCGGUAGAUAUCUAUUGAAGAAUUGUCUCGUAGUUUAGAGUUCAACCAACAGUAUAACAACGUUCAAAUUGGUGCAAAUUAAAAAAUAAAAAUAAAAAUAUGAAAUCACACAUCAUGUGGAUCCUCCAACAAAUCGAAUCAUUGUUUGAUUCUUUAAAUAUAAGCACAUGUCAUCAAAGUGCGAGUACUUAUAGAUGGGAGAGUUGGUACGAGAGCUGAAAAAAAGAACUUGCUUUCUGUGAAGUUUUUCAUUUUCAGACAUUUUUUUAGGUGGUGCUAUUUGCACAUUCUUUUUUAUUUUUCACACAUAUUUGGUUUAUUUCAGUUUUUUGAUCCGAUUCAGUUCAUUUGAUUCGAUUGCUGAAAAUUAAGAGGAGUGUGUGGAGGGUAAAAAGAUGUGUGUAAAAGUACUCUCUUCUAAUUGGUAAUUCACAAUCAUACUUGUUAUUAGAGCAUUCUUGUCUCAAUCUUGGAGAGUCGAAAGCUUUCCACUAUGACAUUUGAGUGAAGAAAGUCGAGGUUCUACCAUAAAACUAAUUGGCAAUAUGGCAAUGUUUCUCCUCUCAUCAAUGUGGAUUCAUUCUCAACACACUCUUUCACGUGUGACGAGUUUUCAAGCCUAACACGUGGACAACACAACUCGGGUGACGUGGAGCACAUAUGGUCGUUGGGCUUCACACGUGACACAACCUGCUCUAAUACUAUGAAAAAGUUGAGGUUCCACCAUAAAUCCAAUUGACAAUAUGAGAAUAACCCAACUUACUUGUAAACCCAUGCAAUGUCCUUCAUCCCAUCAAUGUAUGAUUCAUUUUCAAGCUUAACACGUGAACAACACAACUCAGGUGACGUGGAGUACGUGUGGCCAUUGGGCUUCACAUGUGAGACAACUUGUUCUGAUACCAUGAAAGAAGUUGGGUUUCCACCAUAAAACCAAUUGGUAAUAUGGAUAGUAGCCCAACUAUUUAUAAAUAUGCAAGAUUCCUCAACUCAUCAAUAUGUGAUUCAUUCUCAACAUGAAGUUUUGACGAGAAUGUAGGAGAGACAACAUACUCCAGUCUUUGACUGAGGUUGCUAGAGACGGAAUAGAUCAGCCAGUCGACAGUACUCAUAACGAUGGAGUAGAGUUUGAUCACUUGCUUCGUUUAGAGGGCAAAAAGACCAUGUGGAGGUCCAGAACAUAAUAUGCCCUCCUUUUUUGUUUUUAUGUAAUUUUUGAUUUUUAAAUAACAACCUGUGGCUUGAACGCUUGAAUCAUUUAAGGCCUGGGAGAAAUAAUAUCAUCAGUAUGUAAACAAAUGGGCCAUCUAUCCUUUAUGAUUAUUUCAUCUAAUACCUAAACAAAUGGACAGUCUUCACGAUUUCAGCCACAAUUCAAAUAUCUUUCAUCCUCCAACAACGAAGAAUUCAGAUGUGAUCCAAAUGCAUCGUAUCUCAAUGUUUUGUGGCGGAACAUCAGUGUUCAUUACUUAAUAAGGGCUCCAUAGGUCAAGUCGACCUCCAUUUUCUCCACUUCAGUCCUGUUGCAUCCAAAAGUAUUUUAAGAUUUUGGUUUUGGUUAAAGAUCAAAUGAAACUUCAUUAACAACGAUUAAGAGUUUAUACGGGAUAAAACCAUCUUCAAUCCAUGGGAUAAAGUUUAAAAUAUAAGCUUUAACACCCCCCUCCCCCCUCCCCCCCAAAAAAAAAACCAUUUCCAACCAUUAGGCUAAAAUAAGUUUUGGAGAGAAAAUAUAUCUCUAGGCUAGAUUGAUUUUCCCCCAAGAUUUAAGUUUGACUUAAAUUAUUCUGGACUCACCAAAUUGUCAUAUUUCAAACCUUAUUUUGUUUUUACUUAUAAUCUAACAGCUAUGAUUAAAUGAGAUCAGAUCUAAGAGUAAAAAAAAGAUUUAACGGUCCAAAAUUAAAUAUAACGUCUAAAAUAAUUUAAUUCAAAUUUAACUUAAAACUUUAUAAAUACCUAUGUAUUUGUAUGAUUUUUAAUUACUUAUCGGAAUUUAAAUAUUUUUAGGUUAAAAUGUUCAUAAAAAUAAAUUAGGAUAAUCUACAUAAAUUUUAUUUUCAAAAAAGUUACCAAAACAAACAAAUUAGGCUAAAAUUAUCAUUUAAUAAUCUCGAGCUAAAAUUUUGGAGGAGAAAAACAGUUUCCUAGUUAUGACUUAAAUUUUUAAGCAAUUCUCACGUUGGAGCAAGAGGCCACACAUGCCUGAAGAAACAUGCAAAUUCAUAAUUAAAAAGUCAUAAAUAUACAAAAUAAUUCCUUGGUGAUGGAGGACUCACAAUCAACAAGGAAGAUGGCACUUGCAAGGACUAAACCUUGGAUGCCAAAGAAUUAUCUGAUGAAAUAUCUCACAUCGAUCGUAUUUUUGAGAUAAGAAUAGUUUAAAUAUCCAAACUUCAUUUCAACUAAUACCGAUGCCUUUUGUGAUAAUACCUCACACCUAACAGACUGUGCAAUUGGUAACUAUCAAGUUGAGGACAAUAUUGGUGUUGUUGAAAGUGGGCUAUUGGCCAAUCUCUCUGAUAAUUCUACAUGAUAUUAGAGCUAGAGAGCAGGUCCGUACUGCCACGUUAUGAGUGGGUCC